GAGCUUGUCGUGCGAUGGGAAGGGUUCGGAUACCCUGGGUGAGAUACUGAUUGGAGCUUUUAAUCAGUAGGUCGCUGGUUCGAAUCCAGCUGGGCUCACCA
RNAcentral lists this transfer RNA (101 nucleotides) under Silvimonas sp. RNAcentral's name for it is "tRNA-OTHER". The record is from RNAcentral. Lineage: Bacteria; Pseudomonadati; Pseudomonadota; Betaproteobacteria; Neisseriales; Chitinibacteraceae.